This 324-nucleotide ribosomal RNA is filed under the name uncultured eukaryote. Its description in RNAcentral is "partial 18S ribosomal RNA". It matches the Rfam family "Eukaryotic small subunit ribosomal RNA", at positions 1470 to 1796 of the family's 1831-position model. The record is from RNAcentral.
CCCUUAGAUGUUCUGGGCCGCACGCGCGCUACACUGAUGCAUUCAACGAGUUUCUUCCUGGUCCGAGAGGAAUGGGUAACCUUUUGAAAGUGCAUCGUGAUAGGGAUAGACUAUUGCAAUUAUUGGUCUUCAACGAGGAAUUCCUAGUAGACGUAGUUCAUCAGACUGCAUCGAUUACGUCCCUGCCCUUUGUACACACCGCCCGUCGCUCCUACCGAUUGAAUGCUCAGGGGAGCCAUUCGGACUUUCAUCAUGCUGGUUUCCAGUUUUGAUGAAGGAAAGUCUUGCGAACCUUAUCAUUUAGAGGAAGGAGAAGUCGUAACA